Molecule: long non-coding RNA, 1916 nt
Organism: Myodes glareolus (Bank vole)
Lineage: Eukaryota; Metazoa; Chordata; Mammalia; Rodentia; Cricetidae
Source: RefSeq, a predicted model, not a curated record
GCCCAGACCACUGGAGAGGAAAGAUGUAAGCUGCCCCGCUGGAAAAGGGAUACAAUGGUUUUCUUCAGAGCCCCAGUCAGAUGACAUCUGCUUGCUUCAGCUGGAGCUGUUCACAUGGCAACCUCUAGCAGCAAAGGAGCCCACACACAGGAGGAGGGGGAGAAGCCCUGGAUGGGGAGUUUGCAAGCCCUGCCGUGCUUUGAGCAAAGUCUGGUUCUGGGGGCUGGAGCUAGGGCUCAGCAGGUGUGACAUCCUUAACUCCCAGUCACUGGGAGGGAAUAGUUCUGGAAAACAGAAGAAGUCCUAACAAUGAAAGUCUAAGCUUUCAGCUCCAUUCUCCACUAAGAAGCUGGAAUGAAGAUGACUCCAGACCUUUGGAGGUGACUGACAGUGGAGAGAGCCCAGUCCAAGCUUGGGAACUUACAAAGACACCUGAAAGACAUGCUGAAACUCACCCUAUGACCAUUGGAUGCUAGGGACCAGGAUCUCACAAGUAAGCUGACAUCUUGUUCCUACCACCUACAUGGCUAGCUAGCACCAGGGUGUGAAACUCAGAGAAAUCAUAGUCUCGGGUCUACUGUACAAAGCCUCGUCCAUGGCAUGGAGAUGAUCUGUGAUGGAUUCAACCCCUUCACAGACAUUGGACUCUCAAGGAGAAGACAGCCCAUUUUCAUGAAGGCUCUCUGGGUUUAUGUCUUUGUCACAUACCACAAAAACUCCCCUGUGCUCACUAAGAAGUUGGCUAAAGGACAAACGGCUUCUGUUGGAAUCAUGAGGAAGCAAAAUGUGUCUCCGCCAUGGUACCUUCUAAGAAAUUGUCAAGAAUAACAUGGCCAUGGGCUGGCAAUGGAACUGUUAGUAGAUUGCUUGCCUAGUAUGCAUGAGGCUCUGUAUUUGAUCAUCAGCACCAAGAUAAAGCCAGACAUGCCUGUAAUCCCAGCAUUUGGGAGGUGGAGGCAGGAUGAUUAUAAUUUCAAGGUCAUUCUUGCUACAUAGUGGAUAGCCUGGGCUACACGAUUCCCACCAAAGAGCAAAACAAAGGCCCCUCUGGAAUUGGUUCCUUUCACAAUAAAUUUGGAAUUUGAGCUCUGGAUUAGGGAUUUGCAUAUGCAAAACAUCUAAAACCACAAACACUGCAUUUAUCUUUAUGAGGGGGGGUCCACACAUUAGCCAAGUUCUCUGCCACUCAGAUUCUCCCCCAGCCCUCACUGUACUUCUUGUUGUCUACUCAGCUGCCUGAGUAGUCUAGCUGGAGCUUGAAGACCUCCCUGACUUUGAGAGCAGUUGAGUUUCUCAUCUUGUUUCUUGGUCACAGUGGUCAUCACAGUACUUUGUGACUCCCUCGGAGCCACGAGUCCCUGUUUAUGGCCACAAUGAAGACAAUUUCCAAUCUAUCCUCUGAGUUCAUAGGUAUUAAGGCUUGUUCUUCAGCCCUAAAAGUCAUUUGAGAAAUAUAAGUUAGGGCUACACAGAACCAAAAUUUUCUGAUAUUUAAAGAGCCACGGGGAACAACAGAACAGAACAUUUCCUGUUAGCAUGGUCCAGGAAAUUCCAGCACAUAUGACUUCCAUAGCUGUGGACACAGCAUGUCAGAAUCAAGAGCACGAAGGAGUGUGGUGGUUGGUUUUUGUCAAUUUGACACAGUAGUUACUUGGUAAGAAGGAACUACAGCCAAGAAAAUGCUUCCAUCAUAUUUCCUGUAGGAAGUUAAUGAUUGGUGUGGGGGAGUGCUGGAGAAUGUGGAAAUAUACAGCAUAUGGCAGCUGAUAAUUCAGAUGUCAGCCUAGCAGAGGAGUGACUGAUGGAGGUCAGUCCUGUCCACGUGAGGCCUGCAGGACCAUCGACUCUGGAAAUUGCUGCCCACUUUUGCUAAAGCAGAUUGGUGUCUCCCCAGUACCUGCACUGUAGUGUGUAAU